Molecule: ribosomal RNA, 468 nt
Filed under: uncultured bacterium
Lineage: Bacteria
Description: partial 16S ribosomal RNA
Rfam family: Bacterial small subunit ribosomal RNA
Source: RNAcentral
GACGAACGCUGGCGGCGUGCUUAACACAUGCAAGUCGAACGGAAAGGCCCUGCUUUUGUGGGGUGCUCGAGUGGCGAACGGGUGAGUAACACGUGAGUAACCUGCCCUUGACUUUGGGAUAACUUCAGGAAACUGGGGCUAAUACCGGAUAGGAGCUCCUGCUGCAUGGUGGGGGUUGGAAAGUUUCGGCGGUUGGGGAUGGACUCGCGGCUUAUCAGCUUGUUGGUGGGGUAGUGGCUUACCAAGGCUUUGACGGGUAGCCGGCCUGAGAGGGUGACCGGCCACAUUGGGACUGAGAUACGGCCCAGACUCCUACGGGAGGCAGCAGUGGGGAAUAUUGCACAAUGGGCGGGAGCCUGAUGCAGCAACGCCGCGUGCGGGAUGACGGCCUUCGGGUUGUAAACCGCUUUCGCCUGUGACGAAGCGUGAGUGACGGUAAUGGAUAAAGAAGCACCGGCUAACUACGUG